Molecule: long non-coding RNA, 1519 nt
Organism: Pogoniulus pusillus (Red-fronted tinkerbird)
Lineage: Eukaryota; Metazoa; Chordata; Aves; Piciformes; Lybiidae
Exons: 2
Source: RefSeq, a predicted model, not a curated record
CUUUUUAACUGGUGCCGUGCAGCUCUGAGCCUCAAGUUUGCCCAACUGGGCAGAGGGAUCCUCCUCCUGUCGUCACUGAGAACAGCUGCUUUUCCUGGUCCAUCACUUGCCACAGGAGGACCAAGGAGAACAAGGAGCACAGGCCACAGCACUUACACUCCUGACAGCUCAUCUCUUGUUCCCUGAGUGUAUCAUUUGCUCUAACACAGGGCUCACAAUCCUCGUGUCACCUCUCACCACCACGGCAAUGACAACACAACUAAUGUCAACUGCCAGGGGACAAUUCUGUGCCCUCCUUGCCCAGCUGCUCCGCUGGAAUGAUUCUUAUUUCUCCAGAACAGCUUUUGUGUGAGUGUCUGAGCCUGAAUGAGGUCAGCUGCACCCAGCCCUGUCACAAAAUAUUCCCCUGCCAGCAGCAUUCCGAUGUGCUGCCCACAGUGCUGCUCCCAGGGUGACACCAGCACUCUUCAUGCCGGGAGAGCAAGUUUUCCACAAGGUGGCAUCAAAAUACCUGGGCUUCCCUGCUCAGAGCUCAGACCCCGAAGGAUUCAGGACUUUCCUGGGAUGCGUUCAGCAUCAGCUGUAGCCAGGGACAUCUCUGGGAAAAAGGAAGAGGGGAGCCUGUGUGAUGUGAUUGGUUUCAGGGAUUUGGCCUAGCAGGUUCAGCCUUCAACUCUGACACCCAUCACUGCCCCUAGAAAUAGGGGCUGCAAGAAUGUUUGACUGCCAGAGCUCACCCAGGAAAGGAAGCUGUGGACAGCAAACACCUGCAGAGACCACCGAGCUAAUGCUACCUCCUCCCUGCGAGCAACUGCAGUGAGGGGACUGUGGGGGUAUAGAGGGGAAUGACAGGAGUCACCAAAAACCCUAGGAAGAAACAAAGUCAUAGCUUGACUCAGGAGUGAUGUAUCCAAGUGAAGCAGGUUUGCCUUGGCAGGGCAGCAAAGCCAGAGAGAAACCCAGGGAGUUUAGAACAGUGAACAAAACCUAUUUGGCCCCAGAAAUCCUCCUUAUAUAGCUCUAGCAUGGCCUCAUGGUUUUAUUUGCAGAGCUGGGGAUGGGGAGUGGAAACAUUUGCCAGCCCUUACUCCACAGACAUCAUCCCUGGGGUGUGCCAGGAGAUGGUCCCAGGCCAGCAGUAGCAGUGGCCUCAAAUGCUGCCCCAUUAGAGCAGCAGUGGGACCGAUACCCCAGCACAGGCAUGGCUGUGUGCUGUGGCUGAAACUCCUGCCCCAGCUCCUGCUAUGCUUUGGGGAUGUGAAACCCAGUCCCAGCACACUCCAGAGCUGCCCUGGGUGAGUGCUGACCUGGCCACACCUGGCACUGAGCUGAGAAGGCUGUCAAAAGGAUGGGAUCAGACACUGACUAGGCAUAUUUGAGUGAACACAGAGUACAGCUUUGCAGUCUGUGGUGUUUGGAUUGUUUUGUCAAGAGGCAGGCUCUAGCAGGACUGUUGAAUGACUGCAGCCCUUGGAGACAUUGCAAGUUUAAUAAAUAAAAGAAAGAGACAAAACUCUGA